This 117-nucleotide ribosomal RNA is filed under the name Bryobacterales bacterium. RNAcentral also lists the same sequence under 1 other name. The record is from RNAcentral. Lineage: Bacteria; Pseudomonadati; Acidobacteriota; Terriglobia; Bryobacterales.
UCGGGUGGCUCUAGCGAGGGGGUCACACCUGUUCCCAUCCCGAACACAGCAGUUAAGCCCCUCAGCCCCGAUGGUACUGCGCGGGCAACUGCGUGGGAGAGUAGGACGCCGCCCGAU